Molecule: long non-coding RNA, 1341 nt
Filed under: Olea europaea subsp. europaea
Lineage: Eukaryota; Viridiplantae; Streptophyta; Magnoliopsida; Lamiales; Oleaceae
Source: RNAcentral
AUAAUUAAAAGCUUAUAGUGAUUCAGAUUGGGGGGCAUGUUCAGAUUCUUGAAGAUCGAUCAUGGGUUAUUGUGUAUUUAUUGCUUCCUCGUUAGUGUCUUGGAGAUCAAAGAAGCAGAACACUGUUUCUAGAUCCUCAGGCGAAGCAGAAUAUAGGGCCAUGGCAGCUGUAUGUUGUGAACUAACGUGGCUUAAGUAUAUCCUUGAUGAUCUGCGGGUUUCUCACUCAUAGCCGGCUGAAUUAUUUUGUGAUAAUCAAGUAGCCUUGCACAUAGCUAUUAACCCAGUGUUUCAUGAAAGGAUGAAGCAUAUUGAAUUGGAUUGCCAUCUUGCGCGUGACAAAAUUCAGGAGGGAAGUAUCAUUACAAGGCAUGUUAAAACUGGUCUUCAAAUUGCUGAUAUUCUUACAAAACCUCUCCCUUGACGCCUUCUAUUUUCAUCUGUCCAAGAUGGGAGCGGAAAACAUCCACUCUCCAUCUUGAGGGGGGCUGUUAAAUAUCAAAUAAUUGUACAACCAAGAAGGUCCUAGAAGCAUGAGGAAACAGCUCACGCACAUGCUCAAAUGAAGCAGAAUUCUGUUGUACUGUAAAUUUGUAACAAAUUCUCCCUGACACCUGUAUAGAUUAGUUUCAAUGAAUUGUUUAAAUAGGUCAUCCUUCCCUUCUCGAAAUACACAAGUGAAAUACCGAAUGCAUUGGUUUGAUCCUUCAUAAAUUAAAUUCCAUUCAUCUUUUUCUUCUAACCCAAUCUGUUAAUUUUUUGUUUCAAUGAAUAACUGAUUCUUGAUGCGAUGCCAAAUUCCUGGGCUUCAAGUUCACCAUAAAAUGUUGUCAUUCAAAACUUUUAAUUUCAUUUUUCCUGUCAUCAAGCUCUGGAAGCUAUUGAAAAACUCCAGAAAGAUGUGGAUUCACUGAUCGUGAUUCCAAUUGAUCGUCUGCUGGAUAUUGCUGACGAACAGCCUCCCCUGCAGGAUGCUUUUAUGAGCUAUUGAAUCUUGACCACCAUCAGUUGCUUUUUAGCUCCAUGACAACAUUUUGAUAUUUACCAACGCUGUGCAUCAUGCUAAAAUGUGUUAAUUUUUCCGCUUUUCAUGCCAAAAUAAUCUAAUAAUGAAUGUUGGAAAUUGGAAAUGUUUACUGCAGUUAAAAUCUGUAACAGUUUUGAGUAUCAAUACUGCUUGCUGUUUCCUGCUGCCUAAAUGCAGACUGCCGCAUUUUUCAGGCGAAUCAAAUAUUUCCAAAAGUUUCCUUAGGCCACAUUUUGUUGAGAGACCUUCCAUCGCAAGUUUAUGAGGAUGUAUGGCAAAGCUUGAAAAGUUUACUUAUCAGUACAUAAGUACAG